GGGGUGCAAGCACGGAAGGCUUGUAUCAUGUUGACGCGCCGACAGUGUUGUUGUCAUUACUUAGAAUUCCUCAUGGGGGAGACAGAAUCUACGCACCAUAGCUUUAAAGUGAAACCAAUAUCAAU
Long non-coding RNA from Etheostoma spectabile (orangethroat darter), 125 nucleotides. RefSeq lists it as uncharacterized. Lineage: Eukaryota; Metazoa; Chordata; Actinopteri; Perciformes; Percidae. The record is from RefSeq and is a predicted model, not a curated record. The transcript has 3 exons.